GAAAUGCGAUAAGUAAUGUGAAUUGCAGAAUUCAGUGAAUCAUCGAAUCUUUGAACGCACAUUUCGCCCGCCAGUAUUCUGGCGGGCAUGCCUGUCCGAGCGUCAUUUCAACCAUCAAGCCCCCGGGCUUGUGUUGGGGACCUGCGGCUGCCCGCAGGCCCUGAAAACCAGUGGCGGGCUCGCUGUCACACCGAGCGUAGUAGCAAUCACCUCGCUCAGGGCGUGCUGCGGGUUCCGGCCGUUAAACAGCCUUACAAAACCCAAGGUUGACCUCGGAUCAGGUAGGAAGACCCGCUGAACUUAAGC
This 306-nucleotide unclassified non-coding RNA is filed under the name plant metagenome. RNAcentral describes it as "partial contains 5.8S ribosomal RNA, internal transcribed spacer 2, and large subunit ribosomal RNA". The stretch from base 1 to 105 matches the Rfam family "5.8S ribosomal RNA", at positions 50 to 154 of the family's 154-position model. The record is from RNAcentral.